Molecule: transfer RNA, 78 nt
Filed under: Rothia dentocariosa
Lineage: Bacteria; Bacillati; Actinomycetota; Actinomycetes; Micrococcales; Micrococcaceae
Also listed under: 4 other names
Description: tRNA-Arg
Rfam family: tRNA
About the family: Transfer RNA (tRNA) molecules are approximately 80 nucleotides in length.
Source: RNAcentral
GUCCUGGUAGCUCAGUUGGAUCAGAGUAUUUGACUACGAAUCAAAGGGUCGGGGGUUCGAGUCCCUCCCAGGACACCA